UAAUCUAACUACACUCUCAAGUCUCAAUGUGAAUAAGCUCCUUGAUUUUGAAGUGAUAAGCUCGUUAAUAUGACUUUGUUUUUCAUAAAUGUGAAUAGAAAAGAUUUACGACGUUAUUCUAAGCUUUAAUUCGGCAUCUCGGUCCAGGGGUUAAAGAUUGUGGAGCUGAGUUUCUGUGUUGUAGUGAACCGGUUUCGAGGAGGCAGGUGUAGCAAACUGUUUGUCACGGACACGGAUGUUGUUCAGGCUGGCUGCUAAUCGGUAAACGUCUUCGAUUAUGCUGAGUGGACACCAAAUGUGGCACGAUUAUGCUGAGUUGCUUGAAACGAGUGGUAUAAGCCAGAUUGUCAUCACCAACUUGUUUAAGAUGCCAGAACUCGUCUUCGAGCUUUUGCUGCUCGUGAGGGGGACAAAAUUCGAGCAUCAUCAGUUCCCUAACUUCGGUCCAUGGUAAAGCAUAAGCUUCAUCAUUGGAGCGGAUGUUUCUCUCAUUGGUCCACCACUCUAAAGCUCUACCUUGGAAGACACCAGUAGCACUCCUAGUCUUGAGAUGUUCAGGGCACUCACUGUUGAUGAAAGUAACUUCAAUGCUAUCAAACCAUUCCAGCAUUGCAGUCACCACAUCGUUGCCCAUGAAAGGCUUAGGGUUGCAGGAGACGAAGUGCUUAUAUUUGAAGCUCACAGGCUUAGGUUGGAUCGCUUUUGAAUCAACAGAGGAGGGAGGAGUGCUGGAACCUUGAAUUUCAAUGACGAUCUUGGGAAUGAUACGUGCGAUCUGAUCGGCCAUGAAAGACAUCAUUUUCUUCUGGGUGUUAGCCUUAGACUUCUUGUGAGGGUUGGAAAUUCGACUUGAUGACAUCUAAAGAUUCAAAACAAGGAUUGGAUGAGACUUGAUCGUAAUGUCUUUGUUAAAUUGGUUUGUAUCACAAGAUGUAUCACAUAGCACAUAAGGGUUGCAAA
Long non-coding RNA from Helianthus annuus (common sunflower), 960 nucleotides. RefSeq lists it as uncharacterized. The transcript is spliced from 2 exons. The record is from RefSeq and is a predicted model, not a curated record. Lineage: Eukaryota; Viridiplantae; Streptophyta; Magnoliopsida; Asterales; Asteraceae.